GCAGACCCGAAACCAAGUGACCUACCCAUGACCAGGUUGAAGGCGCGGUAAAACGCGCUGGAGGACCGAACCCACGUAAGUUGAAAAUUGCGGGGAUGAGUUGUGGGUAGCGGUGAAAUUCCAAACGAACUUGGAGAUAGCUGGUUCUCUCCGAAAUAGCUUUAGGGCUAGCCUCGCAAAGAGGAUGCUGGAGGUAGAGCUCUGUUUGGACUAGGGGCCCGUCAAGGGUUACUGAAUUCAGAUAAACUGCGAAUUCCAGACAUUUAUGUGCGGGAGUCAGACUGCGAGUGAUAAGAUCCGUAGUCGAAAGGGAAACAGCCCAGAUCACCAGUUAAGGUCCCAAAAUUCAUGCUAAGUGGAAAAGGAUGUGGAGUUGCGCAGACAACUAGGACGUUGGCUCAGAAGCAGCCAUCAUUCAAAGAGUGCGUAAUAGCUCACUAGUCGAGUGACGCCGCGCCGAAAAUUUACCGGGGCUAAGCAUGAUACCGAAACUGUGGAUGUGCAUUUAUGCACGUGGUAGGAGAGCGUUCUAGCGGCGGUGAAGCAUGACUGAGAAGACAUGUGGAGCUUCUAGAAGUGAGAAUGCCGGUAUGAGUAACGAAAGACAGGUGAGAAUCCU
RNAcentral lists this ribosomal RNA (619 nucleotides) under Lactobacillus delbrueckii subsp. bulgaricus. RNAcentral describes it as "partial 23S ribosomal RNA". It matches the Rfam family "Bacterial large subunit ribosomal RNA", at positions 709 to 1331 of the family's 2925-position model. Lineage: Bacteria; Bacillati; Bacillota; Bacilli; Lactobacillales; Lactobacillaceae. The record is from RNAcentral.